CCUUCCCUCACCUUGUUCUCUUCACCUCGUCCCUCUUUAGCAACCCUCACUGAGUCAGUUUCCCAUCUCAACUCUGUAUAGAAUCCCCACCGCUCAAUAUCGCUGUAGCAUAGGUGAAAGGAAAACAUAGCUAGCCCUUUGACAUCGCGGCUGCUUAUCCUUCUCGGAUCAUUGAAGUAGCUCGUCGACGCUUCUUACUGGUGAGUGCUCGGGUUUUCAAUUUUCAGUUAACAUAUCUUUGGGUCUUCAUCUCACAUAUGACAAAUCUUUAGUGUUUUAUUUAUUUAGUUUUUGUUUUCUUGUACAGCUCUGUUCCAUGUGAAUAUACCAACUGGAUUCAGAUACAUAAUUUACAAUUGACUGAUUCAAAUUUUACAGAUUUAGAAUUUAAUGUGCAGUGUUUAAAUAAUUGCGUUUGGCAUGUGGACUAGUAUCAGAAUUUUUUUUGCCUAAUUUUUGAAUUAUGGGUUUAGGGUUCACGCAAGAUUUGCCCAAAAAAGGCUUCUAAUUUUGGACAUCUAGGAAUAUCAUCCCAAGUUGUGCUGGAUGCUACCAGUGCAAAGCGUGAGAGAAGAGUUGGUCCAGUUUGGUUUUCAUUAGUAGCUUCUGAGGACCAGUGAGAAUUGUUUGCAACUUCUAACUUCUAAAAAAAAAUUUACUUCACUAGGAUAUUAGAAAUUAGAAUUUGUUUGCUUACAACUUGCAUUUGGUUGUGUUCCUACUUGUUACGUAUCAAUUGUUUCAGGGAGGGAGACGCACCCUUGCCACAAAUUCCAGCAAAUUACUUGAGGAUAAAGUACUGAAGAUUUGGACAGAGAGCCUAGUAGACCACAGACUAGGUGAGGCCGUUCACAGUUUUGCAUAGUGUCCGCGUCACCUCACAAGUUACAGUGCAUUGGUAGGACACUAG
RNAcentral lists this unclassified non-coding RNA (910 nucleotides) under Hevea brasiliensis (rubber tree). Lineage: Eukaryota; Viridiplantae; Streptophyta; Magnoliopsida; Malpighiales; Euphorbiaceae. The record is from RNAcentral.